UCAGUGUGCAAAUCAGUGCAAAUCAGUGCAAGUGUACGUAUGCAAUAGUGGCUUUUCUUUUAUCGUUGCAGUUUUUUCGGACUGCGUAACAAGAUGCGAAAUUUAAACAAUCUGUGAUAAAAUUUGUCAAGAUGUCUCCCCGUGUCGCCUCUGUUUAUCGUUUGACGUUGCAGAUUUUUAGGGAUUAAGAGGAAGGGGUCCAAUUUCUUCGAUGACAGUUGCUGAUUAUUCUUCAGAUUUAUGAAACUCUCUCAUCGUAGACCAGUAAGAUGCGAAAGAAAUCAUUCAGCGGUCCAAAUGAUCUCCAGAAGGUGACGAGACAGAUCGUGCACCAGCGGAAUGGACAACGGGAAGGCUCUCCACAUUACGUGCUCUUAUACUCGGAAGACGAAGGCAGUGGAGAUGAAAUCCCGCUUCAGCCACGUAUGGCAGUUCGGUCCUCUCCAAGGAAGGUGGAAGUUAUUAACGUUGUCAUUAAUCCCAAUGACACGUUGCAAGCUUUAGCUCUGAGAUACAGAUGCACGAUAUCUGAAUUAAAAAGGAUUAAUAAGAUUCACAAGGAAAAUGAGAUAUAUGCCCAUCGUUUGAUUAAAGUUCCUGUUCAACCUUUCUCAAUUCUGACAGAGACGUUAAGUCAGAAUCCAAAUACAACAGAGAAUAAAGUCGUGAAGGAUGACGAAGACAACCGAACGAGUGAACAAAGGGAAGAACAAAUUAUAAACUUGUUAGCUUCUCCUGCAACACCGUCGACAUCGCGAAUGGGAUUUAACAACAUUAAUGACAUUAAUGACAUUAUUUUAAACUCCACGUGCGAGCCUUUGUCGUUAUUUACAAAUGGCUCUUUAGAAAUGGCUGAAGAAACGGAGAACGACCGGUUACUCGAGAGAGAUCAUUCUACUACUACGGGACAGUCUCGAAUUGUGGAUACGUUUAAGUGUUCCGGAGCAGAUUGGGGAUUAUCCUGGGCUCAGCUUUUGGGAGUUUCCUUACUCUUAGGCUUUGCAGGGCCUAUAAUAUACAUCCUCUACUUAGCUGAAUAUCCUAAGCACCCUGUCACUUCGGGACAUUAACGUAACAAUGUUGAACCUACGAAUUAGAUGAAUGCGCGUGAAAACAUAUUCUUCCUCGUACUGCGAAAAAUUUGUGAUAACGUAGAUGCUAAUGUACUUUUGUACAAACGACUAACUUAUAAGGAGAAGGAAUCAUUUAGGAGAUAAUUAUUAUGUUUACAUUGUUUAGCUGACAGCAGCUAAUUAAUUAUCCUGCGUGUUUCAAGUGGCUCGAUGCCUUGGUUUAGCGUUUACAGAAAUUUUAAACAGCAUGCAAUUAGUUGCAGGCGAAACGACGAGAUUCAACUAAUCAUGUUGAACACUUAGUUGAAAGUCUGAUGCAAAGAACACACCCAGCCGAAUAAUCUUCGUACUUUUUUUGCCCCUUUAAGUGAAAAAUGUGGCAAAGAUCUUUCAGUGUUCGGUUCGUUCAAACUUCCAAUAUUUUCACAGUUUUUUAAAUAUAUAUAUAUCCAUCACUGUGAAUCAAUUAUGGGAGUUUUUAUACGGCGGACAAUGUAUUGACAAUCGUAUUGAGAAAUAUAUUUUUCAAUAUUUAA
Molecule: unclassified non-coding RNA, 1609 nt
Filed under: Orussus abietinus
Lineage: Eukaryota; Metazoa; Arthropoda; Insecta; Hymenoptera; Orussidae
Description: lysM and putative peptidoglycan-binding domain- containing protein 3, transcript variant X2
Source: RNAcentral